CCUACGGGUGGCACCAGUGGGGAAUAUUGCACAAUGGGCGCAAGCCUGAUGCAGCCAUGCCGCGUGUAUGAAGAAGGCCUUCGGGUUGUAAAGUACUUUCAGCGGGGAGGAAGGCGAUAAGGUUAAUAACCUUGUCGAUUGACGUUACCCGCAGAAGAAGCACCGGCUAACUCCGUGCCAGCAGCCGCGGUAAUACGGAGGGUGCAAGCGUUAAUCGGAAUUACUGGGCGUAAAGCGCACGCAGGCGGUCUGUCAAGUCGGAUGUGUAAUCCCCGGACUCAACCUGGGAACUGCAUUAGAAACUGGCAGGCUGGAAUCUUGUAGAGGGGGGUAGAAUUCCAGGUGUAGCGGUGAAAUGCGUAGAGAUCUGGAGGAAUACCGGUGGCGAAGGCGGCCCCCUGGACAAAGACUGACGCUCAGGUGCGAAAGCGUGGGGAGCAAACAGGAUUAGAUACCCCUGUAGUC
This 465-nucleotide ribosomal RNA is filed under the name uncultured bacterium. Its description in RNAcentral is "bacterial SSU rRNA". It matches the Rfam family "Bacterial small subunit ribosomal RNA", at positions 338 to 795 of the family's 1533-position model. The record is from RNAcentral.